ACCACUUUCAAAGGAUACCAGACAUCCACUAAUUUU
Molecule: transfer RNA, 36 nt
Filed under: Sphaerodactylus sputator
Lineage: Eukaryota; Metazoa; Chordata; Lepidosauria; Squamata; Sphaerodactylidae
Description: partial tRNA-Leu
Source: RNAcentral